This 492-nucleotide ribosomal RNA is filed under the name uncultured bacterium. Its description in RNAcentral is "partial 16S ribosomal RNA". It matches the Rfam family "Bacterial small subunit ribosomal RNA", at positions 29 to 507 of the family's 1533-position model. The record is from RNAcentral.
AGUGAACGCUGGCGGUAGGCCUAACACAUGCAAGUCGAACGGCAGCACAGUAAGAGCUUGCUCUUACGGGUGGCGAGUGGCGGACGGGUGAGGAAUACAUCGGAAUCUACUUUUUCGUGGGGGAUAACGUAGGGAAACUUACGCUAAUACCGCAUACGACCUACGGGUGAAAGCAUGGUUUCUUGGGACCUUUCCCGAUCUAAUAGGCCGACGUCGGAUUAGCUAGUUGGCGGGGUAAAGGCCCACCAAGGCAGCGAUCCGUAGCUGGUCUGAGAGGAGGAUCAGCAACACUGGAACUGAGACACGGUCCAGCCUCCUACGGGAGGCAGCAGUGGGGAAUAUUGGACAAUGGGCGCAAGCCUGAUCCAGCCAUACCGCGUGGGUGAAGAAGGCCUUCGGGUUGUAAAGCCCUUUUGUUGGGAAAGAAAAGCAGCAGGUUAAUACCCCGCUGUUCUGACGGUACCCAAAGAAUAAGCACCGGCUAACUUCGUG